Molecule: long non-coding RNA, 326 nt
Organism: Etheostoma cragini (Arkansas darter)
Lineage: Eukaryota; Metazoa; Chordata; Actinopteri; Perciformes; Percidae
Exons: 2
Source: RefSeq, a predicted model, not a curated record
CCACAUGAUUAACAUGUUGGAUUAUGAUUUACCAGAUACAGAGUAAAACAGGAUAAACAUUGAUGGAAGAGUAGAAGAAGUCAUCAGUGCCGGUCUAUGAGUUUGUGACACUGACUUACAUUGUCGAUGGACCUGAGCCGGAUCCCCACCUUCCCUUCCUGGUCCUUACAGAGGAUAAUCUCCCGCAACCCUGGGCGGAUCUCUGCCCUCCUGAUGCCAACGUCCGCCCCCGUCACAGGCCGCACCAUUCCCCCGACACCUGAAAUGGAGGGCACUGCCACUUGCUAAGGAGUGGGGGAAAGAAAGCCACAUGGCAAGAGAGGUGA